This 158-nucleotide non-coding RNA is filed under the name uncultured Parabacteroides sp. The record is from RNAcentral. Lineage: Bacteria; Pseudomonadati; Bacteroidota; Bacteroidia; Bacteroidales; Tannerellaceae.
UGGUCGGAUGAUGUGGAUUAAAAGGGAAUCGGGUGUAAAUCCCGGACAGUCCCGCUGCUGUGAAGCUCCGUUCAACAUUCUGAAAACAACUAAUGCCACUGACGUUUGUCGGGAAGGCUUCAGGAUGGGAGUCAGUCAGAAGACCUGCCGUUCAUUAA